CGCGGAGUGGAGCAGUACGGUAGCUCGUUGGGCUCAUAACCCAAAGGUCGGAGGUUCAAAUCCUCCCUCCGCAACCA
Molecule: transfer RNA, 77 nt
Filed under: Clostridiaceae bacterium
Lineage: Bacteria; Bacillati; Bacillota; Clostridia; Eubacteriales; Clostridiaceae
Description: tRNA-Met
Rfam family: tRNA
About the family: Transfer RNA (tRNA) molecules are approximately 80 nucleotides in length. Their secondary structure includes four short double-helical elements and three loops (D, anti-codon, and T loops).
Source: RNAcentral